UACGAAGGGUGCUAGCGUUGUUCGGAUUUACUGGGCGUAAAGCGUGCGUAGGUGGCUUUACAAGUCAGGGGUGAAAUCCUGGGGCUCAACCCCAGAAUUGCCUUUGAAACUGUAGAGCUAGAGUAUCGGAGGGGAUAGCGGAAUUGCUAAUGUAGAGGUGAAAUUCGUAGAUAUUAGCAGGAACACCGGUGGCGAAGGCGGCUCACUGGCUCGUAACUGACGCUCAUGCACGACAGCGUGGGGAUCAAACAGG
Molecule: ribosomal RNA, 253 nt
Filed under: uncultured bacterium
Lineage: Bacteria
Description: partial 16S ribosomal RNA
Rfam family: Bacterial small subunit ribosomal RNA
Source: RNAcentral